AUCACGCCGAAGACAGCAGGUGCCGAAGGGCGUAAGAAGACAAACGCCUGCCGAGGAUGAACAUUCUUUUACUAGAAUUUCGUUUCCUGUUCUGUUCUGGCGGAACAGGUUUUUUUGU
This 118-nucleotide small RNA is filed under the name chicken gut metagenome. RNAcentral's name for it is "Ribosomal protein L10 leader". It matches the Rfam family "Ribosomal protein L10 leader", at positions 19 to 132 of the family's 138-position model. Rfam says of the family: This family is a putative r-protein leader autoregulatory structure found in B. subtilis and other low-GC Gram-positive bacteria. It is located in the 5' untranslated regions of mRNAs encoding ribosomal proteins L10 and L12 (rplJ-rplL). The record is from RNAcentral.